This 25-nucleotide non-coding RNA is filed under the name Gossypium hirsutum (cotton). The record is from RNAcentral. Lineage: Eukaryota; Viridiplantae; Streptophyta; Magnoliopsida; Malvales; Malvaceae.
GCCUAAAUCGCGAUUAGUCUCUAGC